UGAGGCAGGAGAAUUGCUUGAACCCAGGAGGCGGAGGUUGCAGUGAGCCGAGAUCGCGCCACUGCACUCCAGCCUGGGUGACAGAGUGAGACUCCAUCUC
RNAcentral lists this microRNA precursor (100 nucleotides) under Colobus angolensis palliatus. RNAcentral describes it as "miRNA (ENSCANG00000003119.1)". The record is from RNAcentral. Lineage: Eukaryota; Metazoa; Chordata; Mammalia; Primates; Cercopithecidae.